UUGCGACGACGUGGCGAUUUGUUACCGGAUUGCGGGCCACGUUAAACAUGCCGCUAAAAGGCCCGACGAAAGCCCCU
Molecule: non-coding RNA, 77 nt
Filed under: Marivita hallyeonensis
Lineage: Bacteria; Pseudomonadati; Pseudomonadota; Alphaproteobacteria; Rhodobacterales; Roseobacteraceae
Source: RNAcentral